UGCCGGACCUGACUGCUAUCGGAUUGAUACUAAGCCAUGCGAGUCUUUGCAGUAAUGCAAGGCAUACGGCUCAGUAACACGUAGUCAACUUACCCUAUGGACGAGGAUAAUCUCGGGAAACUGAGCAUAAUACUCGAUAGAUCAUAAUGCCUGGAAUGGUUUAUGGUUGAAAUGAUUCGUCGCCAUAGGAUGGGACUGCGGCCUAUCAGCUUGUUGGUGAGGUAAUGGCCCACCAAGGCGAUUACAGGUACGGGCUCUGAGAGGAGAAGCCCGGAGAUGGGUACUGAGACAAGGACCCAGGCCCUAUGGGGCGCAGCAGGCGAGAAAACUUUGCAAUGUGCGAAAGCACGACAAGGUUAAUCCGAGUGAUUUCUGCUAAAGAAAUCUUUUGCAAGUCAUAAAACCACUAGUGAAUAAGGGGUGGGCAAGUUCUGGUGUCAGUCGCCGCGGUAAAACCAGCACCUCAAGUGGUCAGGAGGAUUAUUGGGCCUAAAGCAUCCGUAGCCGGCUCUGUAAGUUUUCGGUUAAAUCCAUGUGCUCAACGCAUGGGCUGCCGAAAAUACUGCAUAGCUAGGGAGUGGGAGAGGUAGACGGUACUCAGUAGGAAGGGGUAAAAUCCUUUGAUCUAUUGAUGACCACCUGUGGCGAAGGCGGUCUACCAGAACACGUUCGACGGUGAGGGAUGAAAGCUGGGGGAGCAAACCGGAUUAGAUACCCGGGUAGUCCCAGCUGUAAACGAUGCAGACUCGAUGAUGCAUUGGCAUAUAGCCAGUGCAGUGUCGCAGGGAAGCCGUUAAGUCUGCCGCCUGGGAAGUACGUACGCAAGUAUGAAACUUAAAGGAAUUGGCGGGGGAGCACCAC
RNAcentral lists this ribosomal RNA (861 nucleotides) under uncultured archaeon. RNAcentral describes it as "bacterial SSU rRNA". It matches the Rfam family "Archaeal small subunit ribosomal RNA", at positions 15 to 882 of the family's 1478-position model. The record is from RNAcentral.